Molecule: ribosomal RNA, 229 nt
Filed under: uncultured bacterium
Lineage: Bacteria
Description: partial 16S ribosomal RNA
Rfam family: Bacterial small subunit ribosomal RNA
Source: RNAcentral
UGCGCAGGCGGGCUUGUAAGUCAGUGGUGAAAUACUGCCGCUUAACGGUAAAAUUGCCAUUGAUACUGAAGUUCUUGAAUAUGGUUGAGGUAGGCGGAAUGUGUUGUGUAGCGGUGAAAUGCAUAGAUAUGACACAGAACGCCGAUUGCGAAGGCAGCUUACUAAGCCAUUAUUGACGCUGAGGCACGAAAGCGUGGGGAGCGAACAGGAUUAGAUACCCUGGUAGUCC